UACGGAGGGUGCAAGCGUUAUCCGGAUUCACUGGGUUUAAAGGGUGCGUAGGUGGGUUGGUAAGUCAGUGGUGAAAUCCCCGAGCUUAACUUGGGAACUGCCAUUGGUACUAUCAAUCUUGAAUACCGUGGAGGUCAGCGGAAUAUGUCAUGUAGCGGUGAAAUGCUUAGAUAUGACAUAGAACACCAAUUGCGAAGGCAGCUGGCUACACGAAUAUUGACACUGAGGCACGAAAGCGUGGGGAUCAAACAGG
RNAcentral lists this ribosomal RNA (253 nucleotides) under uncultured bacterium. Its description in RNAcentral is "partial 16S ribosomal RNA". It matches the Rfam family "Bacterial small subunit ribosomal RNA", at positions 524 to 776 of the family's 1533-position model. The record is from RNAcentral.